GCCACAACUUUUACUUUGAAGG
RNAcentral lists this microRNA (22 nucleotides) under Oreochromis niloticus (Nile tilapia). RNAcentral's name for it is "oni-miR-10870". Lineage: Eukaryota; Metazoa; Chordata; Actinopteri; Cichliformes; Cichlidae. The record is from miRBase by way of RNAcentral.